This 467-nucleotide ribosomal RNA is filed under the name uncultured bacterium. RNAcentral's name for it is "bacterial SSU rRNA". It matches the Rfam family "Bacterial small subunit ribosomal RNA", at positions 355 to 825 of the family's 1533-position model. The record is from RNAcentral.
UCGGGAAUUUUGGGCAAUGGAGGGAACUCUGACCCAGCCAUGCCGCGUGCAGGAUGAAGGCGUUAUGCGUUGUAAACUGCUUUUAUAUAGGAAGAAAUAGUCCUUGCGAGGAAAGUUGACGGUACUAUAUGAAUAAGCACCGGCUAACUCCGUGCCAGCAGCCGCGGUAAUACGGAGGGUGCAAGCGUUGUCCGGAUUUAUUGGGUUUAAAGGGUGUCGUAGGCGGUUUAUUAAGUCAGUGGUGAAAGACGGUCGCUCAACGAUUGCAGUGCCAUUGAUACUGGUAGACUUGAGUAUGAUUGAGGUAGCUGGAAUGGAUAGUGUAGCGGUGAAAUGCAUAGAUAUUAUCCAGAACACCAAUUGCGUAGGCAAGUUACUAAGUCAUAACUGACGCUGAGGCACGAAAGUGUGGGUAUCAAACAGGAUUAGAUACCCCUGUAGUCCCUGAGCGGGCUGGCAAGGCGCAU